GUCAGAACGAACGCUGGCGGCAGGCCUAACACAUGCAAGUCGAACGGAUCCUUCGGGAUUAGUGGCAGACGGGUGAGUAACGCGUGGGAAGCUACCUUGUGGUAGGGGACAACAGUUGGAAACGACUGCUAAUACCCUAUGAGCCCUAUGGGGGAAAGAUUUAUCGCCAUGAGAUGUGCCCGCGUUAGAUUAGCUAGUUGGUAAGGUAAUGGCUUACCAAGGCGACGAUCUAUAGCUGGUCUGAGAGGAUGAUCAGCCACACUGGGACUGAGACACGGCCCAGACUCCUACGGGAGGCAGCAGUGGGGAAUAUUGGACAAUGGGGGCAACCCUGAUCCAGCCAUGCCGCGUGUGUGAUGACGGCCUUAGGGUUGUAAAGCACUUUCAGCAGUGAAGAUAAUGACAUAACUGCAGAAGAGCCCCGNACUCG
Molecule: ribosomal RNA, 430 nt
Filed under: Pseudovibrio sp. TJD659
Lineage: Bacteria; Pseudomonadati; Pseudomonadota; Alphaproteobacteria; Hyphomicrobiales; Stappiaceae
Description: bacterial SSU rRNA
Rfam family: Bacterial small subunit ribosomal RNA
Source: RNAcentral